GCAGCCUCGUUAGACCCGGCGCGGCCGCGGCCCGGCGCCGCCCUGCUCUCCCCCACGUGCGCCCCUCCCAGCGCCCAGCCGCCGCCGAUCGUCGACCGCAGGGUGGCCCCCGCGCAGACAGAUUGGGGGCGCUGGCAGAGGGGUGCGAGGGGCGGCCAGAACCCCGGCCUGGGAUCAAAUAGGAGCUGGACUCCGGACCACGCUGCGAGAUCUCGGGGACUUAGGACUUCGCUUCGGGGAACCUCAACUUUCUCAUCGGUAAAAUGGGAACCUCCUACGACCUCACUGGGCUAUGUACGACUACACAGAUGAUCACAAAAAAACUGACGUCUUCGAAGAUUACUCUGUAUUGAGCUCUUUACCUGCCUGGGCCCGGACGUGGGAAGUACCGGGCUUUUAGCAAGCUUCCAUAAAUGAUGGGGAAACUGAGGGACAGAGCCAUUUCCCAAGAUUGCACAGAAGAACCAGAAUUCAAUCCAGUCUCUUACUGCCUGGCCCUUGUUCUUCCACCACAGUCUGCCCCCAGACAGUCUAAUUUGUCCAGAAUCAGAACUGUCUUGCAUCUAUGCCUGGACCAUGGCAGCAGCUCCAGGGACAUCGGCCUCCUUGAACCACCCGGGCACACCAGGGAUCCCCAGGAAGGUGUUGUGCUUCUCGCUGUCUCUGUCCUGGCUCUGCUGCUGGGACCAGAGCUGUCUCCUGGCCACACUCCCAAACUAACAGUAAUGGAAUGGAAACAUUGCUGCAAGCAGAAGUAACAAAAGAAGGGCUCUGCAGGACUCCCUGCACAUGGCUAAAAAAGAAGCAUUCGGAUCAAUGAACACCUCCAGGGACAUCCCUGGUGGCACAGUGGUUAAGAAUCGACUUGCCAGUGCAGGGGACAUGGGUUCAAUCCCUGGUCCGGGAAGAUCCCACAUGCCGUGGAGCAACUAAGCCCAUGUGCCACAACUACUGGGCCCAUGCGCCACAGCUACUGAAGCCUGCGUGCCUAGAGCCCAUGCUUUGCAACAAGAGAAGCCACUGCAAUGAGAAGCUUGAGCACCGCAACAAAGAGUAGCCCCUGCUCGCCGCAACUAGAGAAGCCCACGCGCUGCAAUGAACACCAAACACAGCCAAAAACAAUA
This is a long non-coding RNA of Hippopotamus amphibius kiboko, 1124 nucleotides long. RefSeq lists it as uncharacterized. The transcript has 5 exons. The record is from RefSeq and is a predicted model, not a curated record. NCBI's taxonomy places the organism in Eukaryota, Metazoa, Chordata, Mammalia, Artiodactyla, Hippopotamidae.